CAGUAGCCGCGGUAAAACGGAGGGUGCAAGCGUUAAUCGGAAUUACUGGGCGUAAAGCGUGCGUAGGCGGUUCGUUAAGUCUGUUGUGAAAGCCCCGGGCUCAACCUGGGAAUGGCAAUGGAUACUGGCGAGCUAGAGUGUGUCAGAGGAUGGUGGAAUUCCCGGUGUAGCGGUGAAAUGCGUAGAGAUCGGGAGGAACAUCAGUGGCGAAGGCGGCCAUCUGGGACAACACUGACGCUGAGGCACGAAAGCGUGGGGAGCAAACAGGAUUAGAUACCCCCGUAGUCCCUGUCUCUUAUAU
Molecule: ribosomal RNA, 301 nt
Filed under: uncultured bacterium
Lineage: Bacteria
Description: partial 16S ribosomal RNA
Rfam family: Bacterial small subunit ribosomal RNA
Source: RNAcentral